CUUCUAGAACCACCCAACCCAGCCCAACAAUCCCAAUCUCUCUCUCUCUCUCUCUCAAUCUCUCAUCUCCAGCCGCGCUUUCUCUCUCUCUCUAGCUCCCAGCCUCGACUUCACCCAAACCCUAGCCCUAUUGCGCGCGGGAGACCCGCCGGCGAGGCGCGCGCACGGAGCGAGCCGGGGGGCGGGAGGGCCAGCCGCCGCCGCCGCCGCCUGCAGCAGCGAGGAUGCCGUCGGGGUCGGCGACGCAGUUCCGGUACACGCAGACGCCGUCCAAGGUGCUCCACCUCCGGAACAUGCCGUGGGAGUGCACCGAGGAGGAGCUCGUCGAGCUCUGCAAGCCCUUCGGCAGGGUCGUCAACACCAUGUGCAACGUCGGCGCCAACCGCAACCAGGCCUUCGUCGAGUUCGCAGAUCAAAACCAGGCAAUUUCAAUGGUUUCAUAUUAUGCUUCUUCUUCAGAACCUGCUCAAGUUCGUGGCAAAACUGUAUAUAUCCAGUACUCAAACAGACAAGAAAUUACCAACAAUAAAGGAACUGGUGAUUCCUCUGGCAAUGUUCUUCUUGUCACUUUUGAAGGUGUCCAGCCUAAUGAUAUUAGCAUAGAUGUCAUUCAUUUGGUAUUUUCCGCAUUUGGGUUUGUCCACAAGAUAGCAACCUUUGAGAAGGCUGCUGGUUUCCAGGCACUUAUCCAAUAUACUGAUGCUCCAACUGCACUAGAAGCAAAAAAUUCGUUGGAUGGAAGAAGCAUCCCGAGAUAUUUACUUCCUGAACAUGUCCCCACCUGUCACCUGCGCAUAACCUUUUCUGCGCACAAGGAUUUGAAUAUCAAGUUUCAAUCACAUCGUAGCAGGGAUUACACGAAUCCAUAUCUUCCUGUGAAUCCAACAGCAAUCGAGGGAAUCGCACAGCCCACUUUAGGCCCUGAUGGGAAGAUAAAGGAGCCUGAGAGCAAUGUGCUUUUGGCUUCAAUAGAGAACAUGCAGUAUGCUGUGACGGUGGAUGUUCUACAUACUGUGUUCUCUGCUUUUGGUACUGUUCAAAAGAUUGCAAUGUUUGAGAAGAAUGGUGGAAUGCAGGCCUUAAUUCAAUAUCCAGCAGAGGGGUGUCGGAGUUCGUGAAGGCUUAGAAUGGACAUCUGCAACUAUCCACAGCUAUAAAGUUGCCUUUAACAUCACAACGGCAGCAGUUGCUAAACAAGCUUUGGAAGGGCACUGCAUAUAUGAUGGAGGUUACUGUAAGCUUCAUCUGUCAUACUCUCGUCAUACUGAUCUCAAUGUAAAGGCACAUGAUGAGAGAAGCAGAGACUACACUGUUUCAUCAGAUCCUAGUGCACAAAUGCAAGCUGCAGCGCAAGCCCCAGGUCCUAGCACUCCAGGAGUGGCAUGGCAAAACACCGCACCCAGUGCUUCCUUUUAUGGCAGCACUGCGGCAGCGACUCCUGUUGGACAAGUGCCAGCUUGGAAUCCAAACAUGCAGGCAGGUGCUUUUGGAUCGGCAUCGUCUGCAUACCCAACCCAACCAAUGAUGCCAGGAUCAGUUCCACACUAUCCAGGAAUUGGAUCCAGUUCCGGAGCACUGCCAGUAUCGUUCCAGGCCUCACAUCAGAUGCCACAGUAUGGUGUACCCCCAGCUGCUCCACACCAUGCUCCACCGGCUGGCCAACCAAUGUAUUUCCCGAAAUAAUCUAUCUUUAUCCGAUGUACAAGCAAUUAGAGCAAUUGCAAAUGUUGCCUGCAAUACUCGGGUCUGGGUAUCUUCUCUUCAAAUUUUGGGUUGUAACUCGUCUAUGCAGCUAUUCAUAUUGUAACUCAGUGAGCUCCCUGUCGCAAAUGUGCCUCUGCGUCAGUCGCUGUCUGUAAACUGUCCGGCAAUUAGAAAUUCCCAUCCUUAGCAUGCCUGGUAUUGUUCAGCUCGAAACUGAAAUUUUUCUUCGUGCCCUAUAUUUUUUCGGUGUA
Molecule: RNA transcript, 1955 nt
Organism: Oryza sativa Japonica Group (Japanese rice)
Lineage: Eukaryota; Viridiplantae; Streptophyta; Magnoliopsida; Poales; Poaceae
Gene name: polypyrimidine tract-binding protein homolog 1
Source: RefSeq, a predicted model, not a curated record